Molecule: ribosomal RNA, 244 nt
Filed under: uncultured bacterium
Lineage: Bacteria
Description: partial 16S ribosomal RNA
Rfam family: Bacterial small subunit ribosomal RNA
Source: RNAcentral
UACGAAGGGUGCAAGCGUUAAUCGGAAUUACUGGGCGUAAAGCGUGCGCAGGCGGCUAUGCAAGACAGAUGUGAAAUCCCCGGGCUCAACCUGGGAACUGCAUUUGUGACUGCAUAGCGUAGAGUACGGUAGAGGGGGAUGGAAAUUCCGCGUGUAGCAGUGAAAUGCGUAGAUAUGCGGAGGAACACCGAUGGCGAAGGCAAUCCCCUGGACCUGUACUGACGCUCAUGCACGAAAGCGUGGG